AUUGAACGCUGGCGGCAUGCCUUACACAUGCAAGUCGAACGGCAGCACGGGUGCUUGCACCUGGUGGCGAGUGGCGAACGGGUGAGUAAUACAUCGGAACAUGUCCUGUAGUGGGGGAUAGCCCGGCGAAAGCCGGAUUAAUACCGCAUACGAUCUACGGAUGAAAGCGGGGGACCUUCGGGCCUCGCGCUAUAGGGUUGGCCGAUGGCUGAUUAGCUAGUUGGUGGGGUAAAGGCCUACCAAGGCGACGAUCAGUAGCUGGUCUGAGAGGACGACCAGCCACACUGGGACUGAGACACGGCCCAGACUCCUACGGGAGGCAGCAGUGGGGAAUUUUGGACAAUGGGCGAAAGCCUGAUCCAGCAAUGCCGCGUGUGUGAAGAAGGCCUUCGGGUUGUAAAGCACUUUUGUCCGGAAAGAAAUCCUUGGCCCUAAUACGGUCGGGGGAUGACGGUACCGGAAGAAUAAGCACCAGCUAACUACGU
RNAcentral lists this ribosomal RNA (485 nucleotides) under uncultured bacterium. RNAcentral's name for it is "partial 16S ribosomal RNA". It matches the Rfam family "Bacterial small subunit ribosomal RNA", at positions 30 to 506 of the family's 1533-position model. The record is from RNAcentral.